This is a ribosomal RNA of 1363 nucleotides. It matches the Rfam family "Bacterial large subunit ribosomal RNA", at positions 1562 to 2925 of the family's 2925-position model.
GUGAUGGGGAGAAGACAUUGUGUCUUCGAGUCGUUGAUUUCACACUGCCGAGAAAAGCCUCUAGAUAGAAAAUAGGUGCCCGUACCGCAAACCGACACAGGUAGUCAAGAUGAGAAUUCUAAGGUGAGCGAGCGAACUCUCGUUAAGGAACUCGGCAAAAUGACCCCGUAACUUCGGGAGAAGGGGUGCUCUUUAGGGUUAACGCCCAGAAGAGCCGCAGUGAAUAGGCCCAAGCGACUGUUUAUCAAAAACACAGGUCUCUGCUAAACCGUAAGGUGAUGUAUAGGGGCUGACGCCUGCCCGGUGCUGGAAGGUUAAGAGGAGUGGUUAGCUUCUGCGAAGCUACGAAUCGAAGCCCCAGUAAACGGCGGCCGUAACUAUAACGGUCCUAAGGUAGCGAAAUUCCUUGUCGGGUAAGUUCCGACCCGCACGAAAGGCGUAACGAUUUGGGCACUGUCUCAACGAGAGACUCGGUGAAAUCAUAGUACCUGUGAAGAUGCAGGUUACCCGCGACAGGACGGAAAGACCCCGUGGAGCUUUACUGUAGCCUGAUAUUGAAAUUCGGCACAGCUUGUACAGGAUAGGUAGGAGCCUUUGAAACGUGAGCGCUAGCUUACGUGGAGGCGCUGGUGGGAUACUACCCUAGCUGUGUUGGCUUUCUAACCCGCACCACUUAUCGUGGUGGGAGACAGUGUCAGGCGGGCAGUUUGACUGGGGCGGUCGCCUCCUAAAAGGUAACGGAGGCGCUCAAAGGUUCCCUCAGAAUGGUUGGAAAUCAUUCAUAGAGUGUAAAGGCAUAAGGGAGCUUGACUGCGAGACCUACAAGUCGAGCAGGGUCGAAAGACGGACUUAGUGAUCCGGUGGUUCCGCAUGGAAGGGCCAUCGCUCAACGGAUAAAAGCUACCCCGGGGAUAACAGGCUUAUCUCCCCCAAGAGUUCACAUCGACGGGGAGGUUUGGCACCUCGAUGUCGGCUCAUCGCAUCCUGGGGCUGUAGUCGGUCCCAAGGGUUGGGCUGUUCGCCCAUUAAAGCGGUACGCGAGCUGGGUUCAGAACGUCGUGAGACAGUUCGGUCCCUAUCCGUCGUGGGCGUAGGAAAUUUGAGAGGAGCUGUCCUUAGUACGAGAGGACCGGGAUGGACAUACCUCUGGUGUACCAGUUGUCGUGCCAACGGCAUAGCUGGGUAGCUAUGUGUGGACGGGAUAAGUGCUGAAAGCAUCUAAGCAUGAAGCCCCCCUCAAGAUGAGAUUUCCCAACUUCGGUUAUAAGAUCCCUCAAAGAUGAUGAGGUUAAUAGGUUCGAGGUGGAAGCAUGGUGACAUGUGGAGCUGACGAAUACUAAUCGAUCGAAGACUUAAUCAAAUU